GGGGGCACAACGGCUCCUGGGAGCCGUGGCGUUUGCCCACGUGGCGGUAAACACAGUUUGGGAGGACAACCGGCCGUGGGCAGAGCUUGCGAGAAGAGUCAGCCCUCCAUUUUGAGUUGGAGGGAGUGGUGAAGGGAAGAGCUUGGCCUCAGAAGAUUACUGGAAUCCGAAAGUACUGAAGUACAAUUCAUUUGGGAAGCCAGGACCUUAAUGUUGUCUUGAUAAAAUACUCCAAGAAGCUUGAACUUGGAAGACACUCUUACAGAGGGAGGAGAAGUUUGUACUCUUAGGGAUUCCUGCUUCUCACUUCCUCCCCCAUCUGAGGAAUCAGAUAGUCAAGCAGCAGGAAAAAGAAAUAUUUCAAAGUUUUCAUGUUGAAUUUUGUCUAACCUGAUGCUGUGCCUACUUUCUUGUUUUGUUUUGUUGUUUUGUUAUUUUGUUUAAGCAGAAUACUCUCAUCUCAUACAAAAUACAAAUGGAUCCAUGUUUUUCUGGUGCACUCUAUUUAAAAUUACUCCAUUCCCUAAAAUACUUUCUAAUGUAAAUGACACUGUAAUUCUUGAUACAUCAGUUCUUUAACAUUAUUGCUAACUUUCUUAAUAGGACGGUAAGGACUCAUGUGACUCCUUACAGGUAUCUUCUAAAAUAUGUUACGUUCUAUAUGCCUUACAACUCUUAAAUAUUUUACUGGCCAGGAACAUUGUCUACCAGCAGAAAUGUACAAAAAAGGUUACUUGAAAAAAUGUAUUUGAAAAAAAGGUGUCUGUGUGGUUUGCCUAGAGCAGAUUUAAACUCUUGAAAAGGUGAUCACUAGUCACAAUUAUUUAACAAAUAAUUAAUAAGCAGUUAAAUUUGCCAGGUCGACAGAAUAUAAAUUAAUUAAAUCCAUAAACAUUUCUUCACCUCUCCCAAGCCACUUUAUGUACUAGUUAUUUGUAAUUUUCUACUUAUGCUAUCUGUUUGAUGUUGCUCAUAUGGAUGCUUAAAGCAAGCUAAUAAAUGAAGCAAAAAUUCAGAUGAAUUCUUGGCUUUUUGAAACAAAUAGUUUCAUGUGUUUUCCAGAGUUAUUCCUUCAACUGUAAAUAGAUUUUGUUCAUUUCCUUUCUAUAAAGAAAAGGCAGAAACAAUUUACUGUCUUAUGACUCUCACUAUUCUCUACUGAAAUUCUCUUUCCCAGUAUCAGAGAUCUACUACAAUUCCAGUAAUAGGCUGUACUUGGAUUUAUGAGUAAAACACAGUGUAAAUCAUGACAUGAAGACAUGUAAUUCUGUUUUCUGUGACUCAUCAGCUUCUUCCCAGUUCCACCUUCAUAUAAAAAAAAAAAUUCUAUUUUUUUUUUAA
Long non-coding RNA from Harpia harpyja (harpy eagle), 1341 nucleotides. RefSeq lists it as uncharacterized. The transcript is spliced from 3 exons. The record is from RefSeq and is a predicted model, not a curated record. Lineage: Eukaryota; Metazoa; Chordata; Aves; Accipitriformes; Accipitridae.